This is a long non-coding RNA of Anopheles merus, 1122 nucleotides long. RefSeq lists it as uncharacterized. NCBI's taxonomy places the organism in Eukaryota, Metazoa, Arthropoda, Insecta, Diptera, Culicidae. The transcript has 2 exons. The record is from RefSeq and is a predicted model, not a curated record.
UUUUUAUUGUACACGGUAACAGCAGCUUGUUUGAAGGUUUCGAGUGGACAACUAUAGAGGUUAUUUAUUUUGUUAGCAAUAAAGUGAUUCCGCUUUAAGUUUGUUGGCCUUUCAAAGCAAUUUAACUGCUUUUAGAAACGUGUUAUCUGCCUAAAAUGUCUCAUUGUCAUCUGGUGCUGUGUAUUUCUCGAGAAAUAUUGCCUUCAUUCUUGCCACCAAAGGAUAACUGAUGGAAACGUGCUAGAUAUCGAAUUGAGCAUUCUACCCUUCCCUUCGAAAGGUUUCCGGCCGGGUUUUGUCGGGGUUCCUCCAGAUUGGUGGGAUUAGAAUUGUCUCAACCAACAGACAGACUGGGGGGAAGGACAAGCGAAGCCCUUGAACAACUUUUUGUCACAUUCACAUGAUUCCGGUUGCCUUUCAGUUCGGUUCCGAGCUGGAGAGUGGGAAGACCGAAUCGUCGUACUGCAUGCAAGUCAAUAAUGGAAGCUUACCCAUCGAGGGUGACAUAUGUUCGAAAUAUCAUUUUGAUAAGGAAAUGAUGACCCAGGUGCCAUCGGGUACCACUCGGUUCCGCCAGCCGAAGCAUGGUGCUAGGAAUGCGGGCCCACUUGAAAGACAAUGAGAGUGUUAUGUGAUAUGUGCUGAUGUUGGCUAAAGGGACACCACGGAAGGAAGGAAGCCAAGUAGGGGAAGCGUUUGAAAUGGAAAGGAACUGUAGAUGGAAGAAAGGGCUCCCUGAGACAGAAAAAAUAGGGGGAACUAAUCCCAACUGGACCCAGCUGGGUGGGGCGUGCUGUUGCGUUUGGAGUUGAGGUUCGAUAUCCGGAACACAUCUCCUCUCGGUUGCGACCGUAAAGUAUGGUAACCCGCAGGACUAUUUCAACACGUGAGAAGCAGGUUGACAGGAAGGAAGCCGGAUUCGAGUGGUUCCUUCAUUAGGCGCAAGAUGGUGGGAGGUAAACGGAAGACACGAGUGCGUUCUUCCGUUCGUUUUUUGUUUUGUUGCUCAAACCCCGGAAUUAGGAGCACGUAUAAUCGACACUCGACCGGAUGGUAUUAAUUACAAAAUUUCAAGUGUAAUUUAAUAAACUCGCUCACUCGGUUUCUGAUCCGGUUCAUUGA